AGCGAACGCUGGCGGCAGGCUUAACACAUGCAAGUCGAGCGGGCAUCCUUGUGGUGUCCGCGGCAGACGGGUGAGUAACGCGUGGGAACGUGCCCUUCGGUUCGGAAUAACUCAGGGAAACUUGAGCUAAUACCGGAUACGUGCGAGAGCAGAAAGGUUUAUCUGCCGAAGGAUCGGCCCGCGUCUGAUUAGCUAGUUGGUGAGGUUAUGGCUCACCAAGGCGACGAUCAGUAGCUGGUCUGAGAGGAUGAUCAGCCACACUGGGACUGAGACACGGCCCAGACUCCUACGGGAAGCAGCAGUGGGGAAUAUUGGACAAUGGGGGCAACCCUGAUCCAGCCAUGCCGCGUGAGUGAUGACGGCCUUAGGGUUGUAAAGCUCUUUUCUCCGGGACGAUAAUGACGGUACCGGAGGAAUAAGCCCCGGCUAACUUCGUG
RNAcentral lists this ribosomal RNA (437 nucleotides) under uncultured bacterium. Its description in RNAcentral is "partial 16S ribosomal RNA". It matches the Rfam family "Bacterial small subunit ribosomal RNA", at positions 29 to 507 of the family's 1533-position model. The record is from RNAcentral.